CCCAAGGCGAGGGUGCGCAAUUGCGCUCUACUGCACUCGUCGAAUGCCUCCUCGCCGCCAUUCACUCUCGCCGGGGGUACUCUCACACGCGAACACUAAAGCGCACCACCUCUCUAUGUGUAUUGACAU
This is a non-coding RNA of Caenorhabditis elegans, 129 nucleotides long. The record is from Ensembl. NCBI's taxonomy places the organism in Eukaryota, Metazoa, Nematoda, Chromadorea, Rhabditida, Rhabditidae.